Molecule: ribosomal RNA, 627 nt
Filed under: Trichoderma strigosum
Lineage: Eukaryota; Fungi; Ascomycota; Sordariomycetes; Hypocreales; Hypocreaceae
Description: eukaryotic LSU rRNA
Rfam family: 5.8S ribosomal RNA (bases 245-398)
Source: RNAcentral
UUAGAGGAAGUAAAAGUCGUAACAAGGUCUCCGUUGGUGAACCAGCGGAGGGAUCAUUACCGAGUUUACAACUCCCAAACCCAAUGUGAACGUUACCAAACUGUUGCCUCGGCGGGGUCACGCCCCGGGUGCGUCGCAGCCCCGGAACCAGGCGCCCGCCGGAGGAACCAACCAAACUCUUUACUGUAGUCCCCUCGCGGACGUUUUUACUUACAGCUCUGAGCAAAAAUUCAAAAUGAAUCAAAACUUUCAACAACGGAUCUCUUGGUUCUGGCAUCGAUGAAGAACGCAGCGAAAUGCGAUAAGUAAUGUGAAUUGCAGAAUUCAGUGAAUCAUCGAAUCUUUGAACGCACAUUGCGCCCGCCAGUAUUCUGGCGGGCAUGCCUGUCCGAGCGUCAUUUCAACCCUCGAACCCCUCCGGGGGGUCGGCGUUGGGGAUGCGGGAACCCCUAAGACGGGAUCCCGGCCCCGAAAUACAGUGGCGGUCUCGCCGCAGCCUCUCCUGCGCAGUAGUUUGCACAACUCGCACCGGGAGCGCGGCGCGUCCACGUCCGUAAAACACCCAACUUUCUGAAAUGUUGACCUCGGAUCAGGUAGGAAUACCCGCUGAACUUAAGCAUAUCAAUA